CAGACUCCUUUUGCAACACUGCUCCGGGUCUAAGAAUACUUUGGUAAGGUCUGCAAUCUGAUGCCAAACCAUGAUUGCCAAGUGUAUUCCAGACAACGCCAGAAUGUCAUUUACCUUUAUUCAGUUAUGAAAUGACAAGAGGUGUCUUUCCAAGUCUAUCCAUAAAGCUCUCAUUGUUCUUGUC
This is a long non-coding RNA of Neofelis nebulosa (Clouded leopard), 184 nucleotides long. RefSeq lists it as uncharacterized. The transcript has 2 exons. Lineage: Eukaryota; Metazoa; Chordata; Mammalia; Carnivora; Felidae. The record is from RefSeq and is a predicted model, not a curated record.